CUUAAAGACUAGCCUGCACAUCACAUCAUAAAUUACUCCACACAAAUCAAACCAUUUGACAAACCAAGUAUAUGAGAUAGAACCGUACCUCCAGCGCAAUAGCCUAAGCCGUACCACAAGGGAACCAUGAAAGACAACUAAACAAAUCAAGCACGACACAGCAGGAGUGAUACCCCGUACCUUUUGCAUCAUGAUUUAGCCAGCCAUCUACCCACAAAGUGCCCUAUGCUGGUCACCCCGAAACCAGACGAGCUACCUAAAAGCAAUCACCAAGGAUCAACCCAGCUCUGUAGCAAAAGCGCGGGACGACUUUUAGGUAGAGGCGAAACACCAACCGAGUCUGGUGAUAGCCGUCCCCCC
RNAcentral lists this ribosomal RNA (360 nucleotides) under Gekko hokouensis x Gekko yakuensis. RNAcentral's name for it is "partial 16S ribosomal RNA". The stretch from base 238 to 353 matches the Rfam family "Bacterial large subunit ribosomal RNA", at positions 715 to 851 of the family's 2925-position model. Lineage: Eukaryota; Metazoa; Chordata; Lepidosauria; Squamata; Gekkonidae. The record is from RNAcentral.